UAGGGAAUCUUCCACAAUGGACGCAAGUCUGAUGGAGCAACGCCGCGUGAGUGAAGAAGGUUCUCGGAUCGUAAAGCUCUGUUGUUGGUGAAGAAGGAUAGAGGCAGUAACUGGUCUUUAUUUGACGGUAAUCAACCAGAAAGUCACGGCUAACUACGUGCCAGCAGCCGCGGUAAUACGUAGGUGGCAAGCGUUGUCCGGAUUUAUUGGGCGUAAAGCGAGCGCAGGCGGAAUGAUAAGUCUGAUGUGAAAGCCCACGGCUCAACCGUGGAACUGCAUCGGAAACUGUCAUUCUUGAGUGCAGAAGAGGAGAGUGGAAUUCCAUGUGUAGCGGUGGAAUGCGUAGAUAUAUGGAAGAACACCAGUGGCGAAGGCGGCUCUCUGGUCUGCAACUGACGCUGAGGCUCGAAAGCAUGGGUAGCGAACAGG
RNAcentral lists this ribosomal RNA (429 nucleotides) under bacterium. Its description in RNAcentral is "partial 16S ribosomal RNA". It matches the Rfam family "Bacterial small subunit ribosomal RNA", at positions 355 to 776 of the family's 1533-position model. The record is from RNAcentral.